UAGUGGAGUAAAUGGUUUAGGAAAGGACAUGCAGAACUGGCCUGCACAGUCCUGGCAGCAUUUAUUUAUAAUGUGUUUUUUGAGCUGCUCAAGGAUGUUCUUGAAUGGGGAAUGAGUCUGAUGAAAGAAAUCACAGAAGCAGUCGGCUUUAUGAACCAAAACGAGGGACCUAGAUGUUCUUGGAGUAAAACUGAGUAGUCCAACAACUUUUAUGAUGUCUACCUCCUGCACCACUGAGAAAUACACUAGAGCUGAGCAGUGUGUGAUGUGUGAGGACAACAUCACUGGAGAAGGAAGCUUCCAUUUGCCUCCUUCACCUCCCUGUGGCAGAUGUGCAUCUUUCCUCCAACUCUGCCCUGUGGGCACUGCAUGUACACCUUGGACAAGGCCUCCAUCCUAGUUGGGUAUAAGCACUGGAAGUCACCAAGCCUCUGACUUAGCAAGAGUCAGCUCUAGGAGAUAUUUGCUACUUAACCAGUAUGAAAGCAGCUGCUGAAAAAGGUCUAUGCUAGGGGUGGUGUGCAGGAGGGCUUGUGAGAACCAUGAGGGUAGGAAGAGCUCAUCUGGUUCCAGGAAUGCACCGUAAUCUGUGGGGACCCAAGUGCAGGGACUAAUGGUCUCUCUGCAGGCAGUUCUGAGAGAUGGAACUAUGUGCUAAGGAAAAGACUGCUGUGCUUUUUUUGUUUAGUCUCUUUCAUUGCUUAAUUAUGAGACUCAUUCUGCUUUGUGUCCCCCUGUAUGUAAAACAGGGGUGUGAUCAGCUUUUAUUAGGUGGUUGUAUGUGGCUCAUAUGAGAUAUAAAUAGGGCAGGGAAUCUUUGGAUGCCUCGAAGAAUCCACUUCUCAGUUUUCUGGGGACUGAUGACCAGCAGGUGCUAAACCUCAAUCUUUACAUCUCUGUAAGCUACAUCUAGAGCAGGUUUGAUUAUGAAAUGUCCUGGAACCUGUUGUGCUACUUUCCUCUUAUUAUGGAAACUGUGUGCUCCUCUUGAAAUAAAGGAGUACCAAAGGCAUAAUAUUUUAGAUAU
This 1027-nucleotide long non-coding RNA is filed under the name Cyanistes caeruleus (blue tit). RNAcentral's name for it is "lncRNA (ENSCCEG00000015219.1)". The record is from RNAcentral. Lineage: Eukaryota; Metazoa; Chordata; Aves; Passeriformes; Paridae.